Non-coding RNA from Pelobates cultripes (western spadefoot toad), 213 nucleotides. Lineage: Eukaryota; Metazoa; Chordata; Amphibia; Anura; Pelobatidae. The record is from the annotation of a GenBank genome assembly.
GGACAAAACAUUUACAGUAUCAGUAUUUUUGUACCCACACAUAUACAUAAAGUGCUAAUGGUGCAAUUUGCUUGUACACAACAUGGCUAAAAAGGAGAAAACAAAUGCCUGUCCGGCCCCCAUAUCUACAUGUGCUGGUGCGUUGAGCUAUAGGAAUUUCACUUUCCUGCACACAAUAUUAUUUUUGGUCAAGUGGCCUAAAAUGAAUACAGG